RNAcentral lists this ribosomal RNA (424 nucleotides) under uncultured bacterium. RNAcentral's name for it is "bacterial SSU rRNA". It matches the Rfam family "Bacterial small subunit ribosomal RNA", at positions 355 to 776 of the family's 1533-position model. The record is from RNAcentral.
UGAGGAAUAUUGGUCAAUGGACGCAAGUCUGAACCAGCCACGUCGCGUGAAGGAAGACGGCCCUACGGGUUGUAAACUUCUUUUGUAAGGGAAUAAAGUGAUUCACGUGUGUAUCAUUGCAUGUACCUUACGAAUAAGGAUCGGCUAACUCCGUGCCAGCAGCCGCGGUAAUACGGAGGAUCCGAGCGUUAUCCGGAUUUAUUGGGUUUAAAGGGUGCGCAGGCGGAAUAUUAAGUCGGCGGUGAAAUUUUGCAGCUUAACUGUAAAAGUGCCUUCGAAACUGGUUUUCUUGAGUGUAGAUGAAGUAGGCGGAAUUUGUGGUGUAGCGGUGAAAUGCAUAGAUAUCACGAGGAACUCCUAUUGCGCAGGCAGCUUACUAAACUACUACUGACGCUCAUGCACGAAGGCGUGGGGAUCAAACAGG